This 384-nucleotide ribosomal RNA is filed under the name uncultured eukaryote. Its description in RNAcentral is "SSU rRNA". It matches the Rfam family "Eukaryotic small subunit ribosomal RNA", at positions 587 to 972 of the family's 1831-position model. The record is from RNAcentral.
AGCUCCAAUAGCGUAUAUUAAAGUUGUUGCAGUUAAAAAGCUCGUAGUUGGAUUUCUGGUGGGAGGAGCGGGUCCGCCCUAAUGGGGUGUGAACUUUGCUUCCUUUCGCCAUCCUUGUGGAAAGCCUGUCCGCAUUAACUUGCUGGGCUGGGGAUCUGCAUCGUUUACUGUGAAAAAAUUAGAGUGUUCAAAGCAGGCCGUAGGCCGUUGAAUACAUUAGCAUGGAAUAAUAAGAUAGGACUUCAGUACUAUUUUGUUGGUUUGCGUACCGAAGUAAUGAUUAAUAGGGACAGUUGGGGGUAUUCGUAUUCAGUUGUCAGAGGUGAAAUUCUUGGAUUUAUUGAAGACGAACUACUGCGAAAGCAUUUACCAAGGAUGUUUUCA